RNAcentral lists this long non-coding RNA (317 nucleotides) under Parus major (Great Tit). RNAcentral describes it as "lncRNA (ENSPMJG00000013545.1)". Lineage: Eukaryota; Metazoa; Chordata; Aves; Passeriformes; Paridae. The record is from RNAcentral.
UCGGGGCAGACGGCAGGACCGGGGCUGAUGCUGUGCCUGCCUGGCCCGGCCCCGCCGGCGAGGCCUCUCCGGGGCGAGGAUCAGCAGCUGGACUGACAAACGAGUGCGAGAGGGGAGGGUAGGUGGAGAAAUCCCCUGGUGAAGUGUGGCUGAUCUUCCUCUUAGAAGAUGCUCAGCCACAAUGGUACAUCCACCUGGGCUCACUGUUAAUUGUAUUUUACAGCAGAUUCAGGACAUUUUGGAGUGGACAGAAUUUUUCAAUUAAUAACUUGUUCACUGAGAAAUGCAGUUUUGAGUCAGCCAAAAGUAUUCAUUAA